UUGAACUUCAAUUGUUUUGGUAACUCUUUUUUUUUAUUGAUUCCAAUUUCUAAUUUUUAUUAAUUUUGUUAUUGUUUCAAUUGUGAUUAGUUGAAUGGAGAUUAGUAUUCCUUUGGUAUGUUGUUCUUUGGAUGUGGUUCCAAAAUUUCGGGUAAUAAUCUGAACGUUUCCAGUUUUAUACUCUUUAAUGAUCAUCAUCAUUACCAUCAUCGUCAAGGAGGAAAAAAAGAAAUCAAGAAAGCGCAAAUUGUCAAGAGGAACUGAAAUGAUGCGUAAAACGAUAAAUUGGAUCAACUACAAUUUCAAGGUUAAGCAGCUAUGGACAAACUUUAUGGGAAGAAGGAGAAGGAGAAGAUGACGAUCAACAUGAUGAACAUGAUGAUGAUAAAGAGAGAAAAGAGAGAAGGAGAAGAAUAAAAGAAAAACA
Long non-coding RNA from Panonychus citri (citrus red mite), 427 nucleotides. RefSeq lists it as uncharacterized. The record is from RefSeq and is a predicted model, not a curated record. The transcript is spliced from 2 exons. Lineage: Eukaryota; Metazoa; Arthropoda; Arachnida; Trombidiformes; Tetranychidae.